This 1468-nucleotide long non-coding RNA is filed under the name Trifolium pratense (red clover). RNAcentral describes it as "long non-coding RNA (TPRA_LNC003173)". Lineage: Eukaryota; Viridiplantae; Streptophyta; Magnoliopsida; Fabales; Fabaceae. The record is from RNAcentral.
UCAAUACAAAAGGGUUCAGAAUUGGCACACGCAGUUGCUGAAUACAUGAAUUCGUAAGCAAGUGACAUAGCCUUAAACUUAUACAUAACAUAAUAAUAUGAUCAUAAAACUUAAACAUGAAGUCCUUGAACAUAAACAGCUCCAUCCAAAAGCUUGUUACCUUAUGCCACCUGCUUAUCUGAAAAAAAUAUAAGAGGAGUGGGAUGAGACUACUAAGCCUCAGUGAGUCCUACUACCCGACUAAUGGUGACUACACCGGGGGAAAUUUUCCAAAGUGUGUAUAUUUCUAAUCUGAAUAAAAUUCUUAUAAGUCUGACAUAAUAUAAGCAAUAAAGGUGUAACACACAUAAUAAUUAUCUUGUCAAUUUUUAUCAUAACAGGAUCACCCCGAGGUAAGUCGGUCCCGGAGUGCCUGGCCUGGUAUUGCCGAUAAUAAUAUACGUCGGAAUACAAUCUGGACUUACAAUUGUUAAUACUUAAAUUUAGAUUCUGAAUGAAUCCAGAAACAAUGGAAUCUAUUUGUGAUAAAAAUAUAAAACUUAUAUCAGGUUGCAUUGAUUCAAAGGAGCAUGCACAAGUGCAAGUAGCCCAAGUUGUUUAGAAAAUAAGUUAUGAGCUUAUGCACCGGUCCAUUCUGCUUAUGUAUCGAUGCAAGCUUCUGUCUAUCGUGCUUGAGCCUGUUCAGUCAGGAUAUGCAUCGGUGCAAAGCUCCGAGAUUUUAUUAAAAUAUGUCCUAAAGCUUAUGUACCGGUUCAAGAAUUGUAUGCAGCGGCUCAUAAGUUCUAAGACUCACAAUUCCAAUCCCAGGGAGGCAUUUGCACCGGUUCAUGCCCAGUUUGAACCGAUUCAACCAUGAAAAACCUGCAUAAUUUCAGAACAGUCCAAUUCCAAAACAGUUCAUAAUUUCAAAACAGUCCAAUUUCCAAAACAGUUCAUAAUUUCGUAUUUACAUUAGAUUCCACAAAUUCUCAUAAUUCCAACAUAUAUAGGGACUUAAUCCAAUAUUUAAUUAAUCCAAUUACAGUCAAUUCUAUUUAUCCUAAAUUAACCUAGUAUUAUCAUGCAAUAUGUGAAUUUGGGGAAACUAGGUUUCUAACUAAUCUUAAGGCAAGGAACCUAAAGAACCCACCUGAUUUGAAGCUUUAAUCUUGCUUUUGGAACUAUGAUUCUGCUACUAUUUCGAAAAUGCUCCUUCAGUUCCUCCUUGAACUUUGACUCCCAAAAUCAGUUCCUAAACCACCCAUUUUCACACAAUGAGUUUUGAAUCCAUACUUGAAUUUGAAGAGCAGAACUGUACUCCAUUGGAGGUUGGUUAGAGAGUACGAAUUUGAGAGGAUUUUUAAGGAACAAGACUUACUAUUGUGCUUACCUUAGAGCUUAAGAUGAGGAAGUGUUAAUCCUUGAAUUGUAUACAUGUUUGUGUGAAUGAUAGGAAAGAAUGAAAUUUCUUUAAAUAGGAGUUGUGUGA